CAACGAUUGCGACCCCAGGUCAGGC
Molecule: ribosomal RNA, 25 nt
Filed under: Cynanchum folotsioides
Lineage: Eukaryota; Viridiplantae; Streptophyta; Magnoliopsida; Gentianales; Apocynaceae
Description: partial 26S ribosomal RNA
Source: RNAcentral